GUUAUAAGACGAGUCGGGAAAGUUUUUCGCUAAGGGAUCAGUCUAUGUUCCAUCAGUUAGUUGGUGAGGUAAUGGCUCACCAAGACUAUGACGGAUAUCUGGUUUGAGAGGAUGAUCAGACACGCUGGAACUGAGACACGGUCCAGACUCCUACGGGAGGCAGCAGUGAGGAAUAUUGCACAAUGGAGGAAACUCUGAUGCAGCAACGCCGCGUGGAGGAUGACGCAUUUCGGUGUGUAAACUCCUUUUAUUAGGGAAGAUAAUGACGGUACCUACUGAAUAAGCACCGGCUAACUCCGUGCCAGCAGCCGCGGUAAUACGGAGGGUGCAAGCGUUACUCGGAAUCACUGGGCGUAAAGGGUGCGUAGGCUGGCUUCUAAGUCAGAUGUGAAAUCCAAUGGCUCAACCAUUGAACUGCAUUUGAAACUGGGAGCCUAGAGUUCAGAAGGGGCAGAUGGAAUUAGUGGUGUAGGGGUAAAAUCCGUAGAUAUCACUAGGAAUAUCAAAAGCGA
Molecule: ribosomal RNA, 512 nt
Filed under: uncultured Campylobacterota bacterium
Lineage: Bacteria; Pseudomonadati; Campylobacterota
Description: bacterial SSU rRNA
Rfam family: Bacterial small subunit ribosomal RNA
Source: RNAcentral